AGACUCACUUUCUCUGAGUUAACACUUCUUCAUGCAAAACAUCAAGACCACUUUCUAGAAGACACUAAAGAUGGACUCUUCUCCAGGCUUCGUGGCUGUGAUACUUCUCCUACUCGGAAGGACUCGUGGAGACUCCGUGACUCAAACCGAAGGCCAAGUGACCAUCUCAGAAAAUGGAUUCCUGAGAAUAAAUUGCACUUAUUCAGCCACAAGCAUACGUUACCCUACUCUUUUCUGGUACUUUCAAUACCCCGGAGAAAGUCUACAACUCCUCCUGAAAGUCAUUACGGCUGGCGAGAAGGGAAGCAGCAGAGGGUUUGAAGCCACGUACAAUAAAGAAACCACGUCCUUCCACUUGCAGAAAGCCUCAGUGCAAGCGUCAGACUCGGCCGUGUACUACUGUGCUCUGGGUGACACAGUGGCAGAAACCACAGGGGGAGCUGAGCACAAACUGAGAGGCAACAGGUGGUCUGGCUGCUGAGAAGCUGCCUCUGAAAUCACCUGACUUCAGCACGGCCUUCCGUGUGAGACCAAAUCAACUCUGUUGGUGAAAAGUCAUACAAGUGUCCUCCUGCCAGGCUACAUUAACUUCAGAAAUCCUUAGAGAAACGAACAAGUCUCGGGGUCAUUGUGGUAUCACAUUUAAGU
Rattus rattus (black rat) is the source of this 648-nucleotide non-coding RNA. The record is from the annotation of a RefSeq genome assembly. Lineage: Eukaryota; Metazoa; Chordata; Mammalia; Rodentia; Muridae.